AAAAAAUUAGUUAAAUAAAUAACAUAAGCUUGUCAAGCUUAAAUUAUCUAAAUAAAGAUAUUUUUUA
RNAcentral lists this transfer RNA (67 nucleotides) under Pisidia serratifrons. Its description in RNAcentral is "tRNA-Asp". Lineage: Eukaryota; Metazoa; Arthropoda; Malacostraca; Decapoda; Porcellanidae. The record is from RNAcentral.